Molecule: long non-coding RNA, 732 nt
Filed under: Musa acuminata (dwarf banana)
Lineage: Eukaryota; Viridiplantae; Streptophyta; Magnoliopsida; Zingiberales; Musaceae
Description: long non-coding RNA (MACU_LNC001565)
Source: RNAcentral
UUCCAAAUACUGCACCUUCGAGUGGCGACCUUUGGGGGACCCACAAAAGCUACGCCAAGCCCACCUGUCUCACCUCUACUCGCACACGUACACAGACCAAUGUCCCAACACAAAUCAUCAAUCGUCUCCCACCUGAGAACAAUGCGUUGGUGACGGCGUUAUGAAUCGGACAUGCAGACCAAUGAGGUUCUCGCAGGAGGCCCUUCCGUCAAGUGACGCCGUUCACGGCGAGUGGUGAAAGGUCCUUGUGAUCCCCUUAUAUAUAUAUAUAUGGACAAGCGGUCUCCGCCUCUUCGUGCGUCUUCUUCCUCGCUCACUUCGCCCCUUCACCUUUCUCUCGCGCCCACCUGUCUUCUCUCAUCUUUUCCUUGCAUGGCAGCCGAUCUGAAGGGGCGAGUGCUCGCCGGAGGCUACGGAAGGCGCCUAGUGAACCACAUCUUGGCCGUCUCUCUGACGUCGGUUCUUCCAGGUUCGGCCGGUCGGUGAAGAGGUGAGUGCACGCUUCGUCGUACGACAGGAACGAGGGGGAGCAGGUGCGCCCCGGCGUGGUGCCGGGCGUCUUCGGCCCCGCCGCAGAUACGGGCGCUGCAGCCAACGCGGCGAGUGGCCCGUCCGCGCUGGACCGUACGGUGUGGUACCGCCCCCUGGCCGAAGGCGUCGACGACAUGCUCCAGCAGCAGCACUAAAUCAAUGCUAGUAGUGGUCAGUAGUAUCGGGCGAGAGAAGCACCGG